AUUGAGCGCUGGCGGCAUGCCUUACACAUGCAAGUCGAACGGCAGCACGGGUGCUUGCACCUGGUGGCGAGUGGCGAACGGGUGAGUAAUACAUCGGAACAUGUCCUGUAGUGGGGGAUAGCCCGGCGAAAGCCGGAUUAAUACCGCAUACGAUCUACGGAUGAAAGCGGGGGACCUUCGGGCCUCGCGCUAUAGGGUUGGCCGAUGGCUGAUUAGCUAGUUGGUGGGGUAAAGGCCUACCAAGGCGACGAUCAGUAGCUGGUCUGAGAGGACGACCAGCCACACUGGGACUGAGACACGGCCCAGACUCCUACGGGAGGCAGCAGUGGGGAAUUUUGGACAAUGGGCGAAAGCCUGAUCCAGCAAUGCCGCGUGUGUGAAGAAGGCCUUCGGGUUGUAAAGCACUUUUGUCCGGAAAGAAAUCCUUGGCCCUAAUACGGUCGGGGGAUGACGGUACCGGAAGAAUAAGCACCGGCUAACUACGUG
RNAcentral lists this ribosomal RNA (486 nucleotides) under uncultured bacterium. RNAcentral describes it as "partial 16S ribosomal RNA". It matches the Rfam family "Bacterial small subunit ribosomal RNA", at positions 30 to 507 of the family's 1533-position model. The record is from RNAcentral.